Molecule: long non-coding RNA, 508 nt
Organism: Homo sapiens (human)
Lineage: Eukaryota; Metazoa; Chordata; Mammalia; Primates; Hominidae
Product: long intergenic non-protein coding RNA 1029
Source: Ensembl
GGCUCUUUUUGCCUGCCGCCAUCCACGUAAGGUAUGAUUUGCCCCUCCUUGCCUUCUGCCAUGAUUGUGAGGCCUCCCCAGCCACGUGAAACUGAUCACAGGGCUCAGUUGAAGUCCAAGACUGUCAGAGGUGUGGAUAAAGUUAAAAUAUUUAACCUUCUCAUGUAAACAUAAGAGCCUGAUUAAUUUUGAGACAUGAGCUUUGGACCCAGACCUGAGCUGGACUCUUGCUUCACUUCACUUCACCGAGCUGCGUGGGCUUGGAGGGAUGUUAAACGACGCUUAGACGGGGGCGCACGGUGACAGAUGCGGCCCCGGCACAGGGGCACUGGCGUUGAGAUUCCACAUCAGCAUCGGUGGGAACCUGGGAGAACUAUUGCGCCUUUUGCAGACCCAGCCUGGAUUCUAUUUUUAGUUUUCUAAUCCUGUAAUACUCUUUCCUAGGGAUCUGCAUCCAAUAUCCUUGAAGUAUCAAAAUUUGCUUCCUCUGAAAUGAAUGGAUAUAAAA